AUUAAUUACGUCUCUAUAGCUAUGGACAAACGGUACGAUGAGGUUUUCAACUUCAUCCACCAUGGAUCAUAUCCAAUAGGGAGCAACAAGACUCAGAGGUUAAGUCUUAGGAGGUAUGCCUCCAAAUUUACCUUGAGGGAAGGACAGCUCUUCUUUGCGGGAAAAAGACGAGCUGUCAAAAGUAAAGAAGACACCAGGCGGCUCUUCAUAGAGUUUCACGACUCACCGUUGGGUGGCCAUGGGGGGAUCGUAAGGACAUUGAAGGCGAUGUGUUCAAGGUUUUACUGGCAUGGCAUGUCUGUUGACAUUGAACAAUGGAUACAGAAAUGUGACAAAUGCCAGAAGGUUGGGAAGCCACUGACCUCUGUGCAACCCUUACAGUGUAUAAAGGUGUCUGCUGUCUGGGAGUUGGUAGGCAUUGACUUAACGGGCCAACUACCAAAAACCAAGGCUGGCCAUGAAUACAUCAUGACAGUCACUGACUAUUUCUCUAAAUGGGUAGAGGCUUACCCCUUAAGGAAUAAGUCAGCAGCUGAAGUGGGAAGGCAUCUCUGCAGCAUGAUAUACCGCCAUGGCUGCCCCAAAAGAAUUCUUUCGGACAGAGGAAGGGAAUUCGUAAAUGAUCUCAACACAACCCUUUGCAAUUUGUUGGGGAUCGAGAGGAGUGUCACGGCUGCAUAUCAUCCCCAAACUAAUGGUCUCGAUGAG
This is a long non-coding RNA of Alosa sapidissima (American shad), 708 nucleotides long. RefSeq lists it as uncharacterized. NCBI's taxonomy places the organism in Eukaryota, Metazoa, Chordata, Actinopteri, Clupeiformes, Clupeidae. The record is from RefSeq and is a predicted model, not a curated record. The transcript is spliced from 5 exons.